CCUCCGUUGGUGAACCAGCGGAGGGAUCAUUACCGAGUUUACAACUCCCAAACCCCUGUGAACAUACCAUUUGUUGCCUCGGCGGUGCCUGCUUCGGCAGCCCGCCAGAGGACCCAAACCCUUGAUUUUAUACAGUAUCUUCUGAGUAAAUGAUUAAAUAAAUCAAAACUUGCAACAACGGAUCUCUUGGUUCUG
This 195-nucleotide unclassified non-coding RNA is filed under the name plant metagenome. RNAcentral describes it as "partial contains small subunit ribosomal RNA, internal transcribed spacer 1, and 5.8S ribosomal RNA". The record is from RNAcentral.